GGCGCUCUGACUGCCCCAACUCCCCUAGCUCUAUGCUUCGAUCCCCCUCCUCGUUAAGAAGGGGGGAACAAAUACACAAGGUCAAUCUGCAUUGGAAACAGUUGGUUUCGACCAAAAUGUGCCACAACCAGAGCACUAGGGCAGAGAAAUUCUUGAACAGAAAGAAUAAGAUGCAAUGAUGCAACAGUGUAGAGAAGAGGCGGCAAGAAAAUGUGAUUUAUCACCAAUGCAUAGCGGAAAAACAAGAAGUUGCGUACAAGGGAUAAAAGUUGGGACGGCAGUGUAAACGAAGAUGCAAACAUAACGAGACUCCCAAUGAGAAAUGCAAAACAAAAACAAAUCACUCAAACUACAUCCACAAAGUCCAAUCGCUCGAAGAAAAAAUUAUGAAUUUUGAAGACAUUUUGAAAAGAGUUGUGGACGAAGUCAAGAAUCUACAAAUUGAAGAUUUCACAAGUUUAGAGAAAAGAGAGCACCAUGGUGGUUUCUUCAUUUUUUUUU
This 501-nucleotide long non-coding RNA is filed under the name Nicotiana benthamiana. RNAcentral describes it as "long non-coding RNA (NBEN_LNC002313)". Lineage: Eukaryota; Viridiplantae; Streptophyta; Magnoliopsida; Solanales; Solanaceae. The record is from RNAcentral.